RNAcentral lists this ribosomal RNA (599 nucleotides) under uncultured archaeon. RNAcentral describes it as "bacterial SSU rRNA". It matches the Rfam family "Archaeal small subunit ribosomal RNA", at positions 851 to 1449 of the family's 1478-position model. The record is from RNAcentral.
GAAACUUAAAGGGAAUUGGCGGGGGAGCACCACAACGGGUGGAGCCUGCGGUUUAAUUGGACUCAACGCCGGGCAGCUCACCGGAUAGGACAGCGGAAUGAUAGCCGGGCUGAAGACCUUGCUUGACCAGCUGAGAGGAGGUGCAUGGCCGUCGUCAGUUCGUACUGUGAAGCAUCCUGUUUAGUCAGGCAACGAGCGAGACCCACGCCAACAGUUGCUAGCAUGUUCUCCGGAAUGAUGAGGACACUGUUGGGACCGCCUCUGCUAAAGAGGAGGAAGGAAUGGGCAACGGUAGGUCAGCAUGCCCCGAAUUAUCCGGGCUACACGCGGGCUACAAUGGUCAGGACAAUGGGAAACGGCACUGAAAAGUGUAGUCAAUCUCCUAAACCUGUCCCAAGUUCGGAUUGUGGGCUGCAACUCGCCCACAUGAAGCUGGAAUCCGUAGUAAUCGCGUUUCAAAAUAGCGCGGUGAAUAAGUCCCUGCUCCUUGCACACACCGCCCGUCAAACCAUCUUAGUGAGGUUUGGAUGAGGCUGUGGUUAACUGCCACAGUCGAAUCUAGGUUUCGCAAGGAGGGUUAAGUCGUAACAAGGUAGCCG